AACGCGAGCUCUUCGUGUUGCUCGCUGAACUUCAAGGGAAUGAGGAGGAGGGCUGAAAUGUACCGUUACCGUUAUUUGCGGCAGAAUUGACUGCUGUUAUUAGACUCAUUAAGACGUUGUCGGUGGAAGGCCACGGGGAGUUUCUGAAAAGACGCUUACUAUCCCUCCAUGCCAUCAGUAGACUCCCUUUUUAGUGACAAACCCCUGUAAUAAGCCUCCGAUCCUCCAAGUCUGAAUUCCGUUCUGCUUUAGCUGAGAUUUCAUCAGAGAUUUCGUCUUCAAAACAGAGCGCUGACAGCUUCAUCACUGCUGUACCCAAUCAGUUUCUGAUUUCUACUCCAUUUGCAACGCUCCAGUCUCACAUAAGUGAACUUAAAGCAAGCCCAGUGCUCGCCCAUUGACGUGGCACAGGCCCGGUACAAAUAGCACUCGACGGACUUGAGAAAUCCAUCUCCAACACGGCCAUCACGAUUCACAACUCGCUGCACGAUCCCACUAGAAACUAACCUCAGGUCUGUUUCUAUUCAAAUUAUGCUUCUGCUGCUUGGCCCAACUCUGUUUCUACCAGCCCCUCUCUGAAUCUCCAGAAGCGGCACAGUUAAACAAUGCACUACUGAAAGCUCUUCUGCUGUUUUAGUCUUAAUCCACGCUUGUAGGACCGGGAGCAGGUGCUUCUGAAAGCGUUAAAAGUGCUCUAGAACCAUGUGUGUCCAGUGGGCAUUGUUUACAAUUGGCCUAGUCCGCAGGAUGGGAGGACAGUAGGGGGACAGCCAGACAGUGGACUCAUGUCAUGGAAGGGGUUGUUGCAGUCGCGGUACAUACAGAGGGCUUGAAUGGUUUUCCACAAGAAUGUAAACAGACAGAGGAUCUAACCAAUGGGCACUCCAAAUGCACAACUAUCCUAAAUGGACUGACUCCAGCUAAUGGCAUCAAAGACAAUGGCAACUUGAAUGGCAACCCUUAUCUCAAAACUGUCCCAGUGAGCA
Molecule: long non-coding RNA, 986 nt
Organism: Sinocyclocheilus anshuiensis
Lineage: Eukaryota; Metazoa; Chordata; Actinopteri; Cypriniformes; Cyprinidae
Source: Ensembl